Molecule: long non-coding RNA, 747 nt
Filed under: Marmota monax (woodchuck)
Lineage: Eukaryota; Metazoa; Chordata; Mammalia; Rodentia; Sciuridae
Source: RNAcentral
CUGACAUCCAUGAAGCCUGGAUCCCACGGGCAGGACUGUCUCAGCCCCUGGUCCCAGAGGAGAAAACCAAGGCUUGUUCCACCUUUGCCUCAGCUUCUCUGUGCGGCCUUGGCCAGGCCCUGACCCCCUCUGGGCCUCAGACCCUCACUCUAAAGGGAAAAAUCCAAGUACGAGAUGUGACAUGGGAGAUAGAAUGAGGUGCUCACCUGGGCUGGAAACCUUCCCCCACCUCCCCCUGCAGCCUCUCACCUCCUGACAGACACCCCUGUAAUAUACAGUCCAAUGUUUGUGCACAGAGGACGUCAUUCAUUUGGGUCUCUCCCAACGCCCCUUCAUUCAAAUUGAGAGUCUAGUCCUAGGUCAGUGCUUUCUCAGAUCCUUGCUCAAGGCCAAGGGUAUAGCAGUGGCCCUGCACAGACAUGAAGCCAAAGCCUCUGGCCCUGAAGCCACUCAUCAUAUGUCCCUACCCUGCUGAGAUCCACCCAUCUCCUGACCUCAGGCUCUGAAAGAUGGUGUGGGCUCAGCCAAGCCCAGCCGGGCAGCACAGAGACAGCCAGAGAGAGGUGGGCUGGGAAGAUGACCAGGGUCAACAUGUGCCAGUGCCUGCCAGUGCCUGAGCUGGUCCCAUACAACACUUGCUGGCCAACUCUGGACAUGCACCUGAACCCCUCUAGGCUUUGGAGGAGAGCAGUUGUCCCCACAGGACUGUGAAGGAAGCAGAGAAUUCACACCCUUUAGGGCUCAGGG